CCUUGAUUGGGUAUGAGAACACUAGCUUGUGUUUCAGGUAAUAUCUUAUUACCCUUUCUUUUCCACCUUAGUUCAAUAUAUAGUACCUAAUAAUUUUUGGCUAACAUUUCUUGAUCUCUCUUACAAUGUCCUGAACUUGUGCUGUCAAAAUCUUUUGGAGUCUGUUCAGUACACAUAGAUCUCUACUUACUUUAUCUCUGAGUACCCCAUGACACAUACUGCUUACAAAUAUUAAAGAUUGUUCAGAGCAUCUGGAAUCUAAAUGCCUUCCCACACAGUGUAAACUUUGACAUGCUGUUACUUUGCAGAUUGGCACUGAGUACUCAGACAAGAUGAAGAAUUGGUUAAAGAGGAAAGCCCCAGACAAUGAAACUAAUUAGGCAGCUAAUUAGACUUACACUACCUAGCUCAAUAGUCUCCACCUCCUUGCACACAUGUGGCUACAUUUGGGGGAAGUCCUUCUAUCAAUUUUAUCACAGAGAGGCUAAAAGUCAUCAUAAGUCUUUACUCAGUGUGACAUGGUUCUGCAGGACACAGCCUUCCUGAAAAUGCCUUUGGCUCCAGCCCCAGGAUCCCAGAGGCAGGGUGUUGCAUGCUGUGGGGCUGUGCUGGUCACUGACAUUGUUCAUGUCCUGGAGCAUUUUUAAGGACUGUAAGUAAGCAGGAUGGGUGUC
Molecule: long non-coding RNA, 674 nt
Filed under: Cyanistes caeruleus (blue tit)
Lineage: Eukaryota; Metazoa; Chordata; Aves; Passeriformes; Paridae
Description: lncRNA (ENSCCEG00000007038.1)
Source: RNAcentral